This 832-nucleotide ribosomal RNA is filed under the name Kingella kingae. Its description in RNAcentral is "partial 23S ribosomal RNA". It matches the Rfam family "Bacterial large subunit ribosomal RNA", at positions 2052 to 2878 of the family's 2925-position model. Lineage: Bacteria; Pseudomonadati; Pseudomonadota; Betaproteobacteria; Neisseriales; Neisseriaceae. The record is from RNAcentral.
UGUGAAGAUGCAAUCUCCCCGCUGCUAGACGGAAAGACCCCGUGAACCUUUACUGUAGCUUUGCAUUGGACUUUGAAGUCACUUGUGUAGGAUAGGUGGGAGGCUUUGAAGCAGAGACGCCAGUCUCUGUGGAGCCGUCCUUGAAAUACCACCCUGGUGACUUUGAGGUUCUAACCCAGACUCGUUAUCCGGGUCGGGGACCGUGCAUGGUAGGCAGUUUGACUGGGGCGGUCUCCUCCCAAAGAGUAACGGAGGAGUUCGAAGGUUACCUAGGUCCGGUCGGAAAUCGGACUGAUAGUGCAAUGGCAAAAGGUAGCUUAACUGCGAGACCGACAAGUCGAGCAGGUGCGAAAGCAGGACAUAGUGAUCCGGUGGUUCUGAAUGGAAGGGCCAUCGCUCAACGGAUAAAAGGUACUCCGGGGAUAACAGGCUGAUUCCGCCCAAGAGUCCAUAUCGACGGCGGAGUUUGGCACCUCGAUGUCGGCUCAUCACAUCCUGGGGCUGUAGUCGGUCCCAAGGGUAUGGCUGUUCGCCAUUUAAAGUGGUACGUGAGCUGGGUUUAAAACGUCGUGAGACAGUUUGGUCCCUAUCUGCAGUGGGCGUUGGAAGUUUGACGGGGGCUGCUCCUAGUACGAGAGGACCGGAGUGGACGAACCUCUGGUGUACCGGUUGUUUCGCCAGAAGCAUAGCCGGGUAGCUAAGUUCGGAAGAGAUAAGCGCUGAAAGCAUCUAAGCGCGAAACUCGCCCAAAGAUGAGACUUCCCUUGUGGUUUAACCAUACUAAAGAGUCGUUCGAGACCAGGACGUUGAUAGGUUGGGUGUGGAAGAGUGG